This 71-nucleotide transfer RNA is filed under the name Atractosteus spatula (alligator gar). It matches the Rfam family "tRNA". Rfam says of the family: Transfer RNA (tRNA) molecules are approximately 80 nucleotides in length. Their secondary structure includes four short double-helical elements and three loops (D, anti-codon, and T loops). Lineage: Eukaryota; Metazoa; Chordata; Actinopteri; Semionotiformes; Lepisosteidae. The record is from Rfam by way of RNAcentral. RNAcentral also lists the same sequence under 2 other names.
GCAUUGGUGGUUCAGUGGUAGAAUUCUCGCCUGCCACGCGGGAGGCCUGGGUUCGAUUCCUGGCCAAUGCA